AAAAGUCGUAACAAGGUAACCGUAGGUGAACCUGCGGUUGGAUCAUUAAUAAAUUUAUUAAAGAUAAUUGGUUCGAAAGGACCUUUUAUUCUUUAAACAAAUUUGUGAACCUUUACUUUUCAUCAAGGUCAAACUUGGUGGGAAUUAUCUUCAACAAUUAUUUUAAACUUGUCUUUAAAUCUUUUAAUUAAAUUUAAAAAACAACUUUUGACAACGGAUCUCUUGGCUCUC
This 231-nucleotide unclassified non-coding RNA is filed under the name fungal sp. Its description in RNAcentral is "partial internal transcribed spacer region". The stretch from base 1 to 48 matches the Rfam family "Eukaryotic small subunit ribosomal RNA", at positions 1784 to 1831 of the family's 1831-position model. The record is from RNAcentral. Lineage: Eukaryota; Fungi.